RNAcentral lists this transfer RNA (70 nucleotides) under Quasipaa exilispinosa (Hong Kong spiny frog). RNAcentral describes it as "tRNA-Phe". It matches the Rfam family "tRNA". From Rfam's summary of the family: Transfer RNA (tRNA) molecules are approximately 80 nucleotides in length. Their secondary structure includes four short double-helical elements and three loops (D, anti-codon, and T loops). The record is from RNAcentral. Lineage: Eukaryota; Metazoa; Chordata; Amphibia; Anura; Dicroglossidae.
GCUUUUAUAGCUUAGACCCAAAGCAUAGUGCUGAAAACGCUAAGACGAACCCUGAAAAGUUCUAAGAGCA